UGUCCAAGACGUUUGCGCAGACAAAAUUGUAACGCUCUGCGCAACUAUUAUGUACGGAGCACGGAGAACGGAAGACAAUCUCCUCUCCACCGCGUGCCAUGGCCACAGUGUCGAUUGCGGCGUAUUAUUCGCGACUUAACCAAGUGCACUCGUUACAAGUCCUCCCUCAUCGUACAAUGUAGAAUUAUUAAAAAUAUCCUACAUCCAUUAUUAUGCUCAUUUAAUUUUUAAUUUCGCACAAUAUCCUUCCAUAUUGUCCACUUAUCAAUUUAAGCUUCGGCUCAGCAGUACAUGGUACAUAAUUAAUACUAUUGCAAAAUUGCCAUAUGGUUUAAUUUAAUAUCAUGCUAAUUUGUCGUAUUUGACUUAACUUGUCGAAAAAAGAUACGUAAGUGUCUCGUGAUUAUCAGCCUUUUUUUUUAUCAGACUCUAACAAUUAGCAAGUAGUUGGAUCUCACCUUGCUAAUUUUCAAUUGUACGUAGGUGUCGAUUCGUCAUUAUCAUUACACAGCUCAUACUAGCUACAUAUCAAUCAUACAGAGAUGGAAGAAACCCAUUAGAUUAAUAUACAUGUAUUAUGUACAUACGUAUGUAUGUAAUGUAACACUAUAAACCGUGAGAACGAGAGCACUUUACCUCGGUUAUUUUUUAGCUCUUUUUUUCUUUUUUAUUUUACAGACUAUUUAUCUCUCUGGUUCGCUCGCUCGCUCCUAUUCGUCCUCGUAGCUAAUGCAUCAACACACACGCCUGCAGAGUAUUACGCAACGAGAGCCCGUGGUUGAGGAAGUAGAGCUCACACAAGUCUUGAUGAGCGAAAACAUAGAUCGCGACAUUAAUUUUUAGCUACGGUACGCUGAUAAAGAACCAAAGAAGUUAAGCUAAAACAUACAUACAUACAUGCAUAAAUUAUUUAAUAAAAAAAAAAAAAAAAAAAAAAGUUACCAUACAUUUUAAAUAAAAUUAAAGAGCAUGUUCCAUUACCUAGAGGACUAAAUGUUUUAGUUUUAGUUUUUUGAUUUACAACAAACACAUGUUUAAAUGUAUAUGUUUAUAUAUCCACCUAUAUAAGUGUUGGCUAGUGCAUUCAGUACAUACGUACAGUUGGUUGUGUACAUAUCCCCCUGAUUGGUGUGUAUGCGUUUGUACAGAGUGCUAUAUAUACAGCGUAGCUUGGCAACAAGCAGUCAGCCAGUUGCGGGGCAAGGUCGACCCUCUCCCCCCUGGCUAUUUUAUCCCGGCAUAUAUUUAUUACGAAACCGCGUACAUGUUUAUGUACAUGUAGACUACAUGCCUGUCCCUGUCUCUUGAUUUAAUCUCUUCUCUCUCUUUAUUUUUUUUCUGUACACUUCUCUCAAAGUGGCGGCUACGUCAUGGCCGCAUUCUGGACUUGACUACAAAUUUAAAUUAACAUUAUAAAUCAGAUACAUUGAAUAGAAGUUAACACAAUAUCGUAUUAUAUGAUCAUGUACAUACAAUUUAAUGUAAUGUAAUAAGUUGACGGAAGAUUCGUAAGAGCUUGACGCGAACCCGUCCUGUUCUGAUAUUAUAUGAUGUUGGAGCACCACAUCGAGCAGAACAACCGCAACUUUACUGUAUAGCAGUACAGUAUAAUAUGUAUAGCAUACAUCAUCCAGCUCUAUGCUAGUACUAGGCCCCGAGGGCUACACCACUAAAAGUGAUGAAGAGGAAGAGAAAACGAUUUUGCGAGAUGACCACAAGCAAAGAAAACUAAACGCAAGCAGUGUGACCACAUUCCAGAGACACUCCCACAGAGUAUGCUCUUAAAGUCUUAAGUAUAUCGGAUACUGUGCAAAAUAAUCGCAAGUUUAUUCUAAUUCGAAUAUAAUAAUUAGAAUAUCAAGCCGGUACCAACUUCUAUAAAUUUAUUAGUAUAGUUGUUUUUUUUUAUAAUUUAAUUUUUUUUAAUAUAAUUAUCAACCUGAAAAAAUUAAAGAUUGUUAAUUAAAUGAGAAUUUUAAUUAAUAAAAUAAUAUUUACAGUUAUUGGAGCGGCGAUCUAAGAUACCGUUCAAUAAUUUUUGUUUCUCAUUAAAUGUAUAUGUUAUAUUUAAUAUGAUAUAUUAUGUAUAUGUGUAUUUAAUAUAUAUUAUUUCACAAACAUAUAUAACGUUAAGUGUAUUUAAGUUAUCUAGUUACUUGUGGCGUAUCCAUUUUUGGCAUCGCCACAGAUUGCCGUUACGAUUUUUUGGGCGACUCACAUUACAAUUAAAUAAAUAAAUAUGAUGUUGAUAAUAUUAUUUAUAAAUAAUAAUAACAAAAUAUAAAUAACUGAACCACUGGCUUGUAAAAUAGUCGAGCAAUAAAAAAAACAAGUUUAUAAAAUAAAAAAAAAAAUUGAUAAAAAAUAAAUAACUCGGCUGGCAAUAUGGCAGCUGUAAGGCUCGGUAUUAGAAUUAUACCGUGUAAUCGAUUUUGAAAUAAUGAUAAAUUGUGGUAAAAUUAUUUUUUUCCUUCAAAUAAUUAUUGGGAUUAAUAUUUGAAUAUGAUGAAUAAAUAACUUGAAAUAAUGUCAUUUUUAGUGUAGUUUCCAAUUUUUGAGGCGCGCUAAGCGUACAUACUUAGGUUAUAUUUAUAUUUUUUUCACAUAAGAGGCACCUAGUGAAGAAUGUCGAGCUAAAUUAAUCGUUAGAUACUCAUUUUUUUAAAAAUAAUCACUCACCUAUGCUAAUGUAUCGAAGAUUGUUCACAAAAGAGAAAAUUUUCACUAUCACACAAUAAUUAAACUUUAAAAUACGCUGAAAAACACAUUUACGUUCUAACCAUGGAAUUUUAUUGUAAA
Molecule: long non-coding RNA, 2799 nt
Organism: Cotesia glomerata
Lineage: Eukaryota; Metazoa; Arthropoda; Insecta; Hymenoptera; Braconidae
Exons: 2
Source: RefSeq, a predicted model, not a curated record